RNAcentral lists this ribosomal RNA (398 nucleotides) under uncultured bacterium. RNAcentral describes it as "partial 16S ribosomal RNA". It matches the Rfam family "Bacterial small subunit ribosomal RNA", at positions 523 to 918 of the family's 1533-position model. The record is from RNAcentral.
AUACGUAGGGUGCGAGCGUUGUCCGGAAUUACUGGGCGUAAAGAGCUCGUAGGCGGUUUGUCGCGUCGUCUGUGAAAUUCCGGGGCUUGACUCCGGGCGUGCAGGCGAUACGGGCAUAACUUGAGUACUGUAGGGGAGACUGGAAUUCCUGGUGUAGCGGUGAAAUGCGCAGAUAUCAGGAGGAACACCGGUGGCGAAGGCGGGUCUCUGGGCAGUAACUGACGCUGAGGAGCGAAAGCAUGGGUAGCGAACAGGAUUAGAUACCCUGGUAGUCCAUGCCGUAAACGGUGGGCGCUAGGUGUAGGGGUCUUCCACGACUUCUGUGCCGUAGCUUACGCAUUAAGCGCCCCGCCUGGGGAGUACGGCCGCAAGGCUAAAACUCAAAUGAAUUGACGGGG